RNAcentral lists this unclassified non-coding RNA (216 nucleotides) under Hevea brasiliensis (rubber tree). The record is from RNAcentral. Lineage: Eukaryota; Viridiplantae; Streptophyta; Magnoliopsida; Malpighiales; Euphorbiaceae.
GGGAAUCAAAUAUAAAUUAGAAGAUUUUGCAUAAGAAGUUAGACUCAAGUACAGAAUUCAUCGACUAUAAUGUCCAGGGAAAAUGGUGCCGCGGCAUUAUAUGCUUAUUUGGUCAAAAUUGGCAGGAUUUAACCUUUACUUACCAUGGAUAAUGGGAACACAGUCUCGAACAUAACUACAAGUCCUUUUCUCACAUCUACACAAAUGACCCUUAAU